Molecule: long non-coding RNA, 455 nt
Organism: Mauremys reevesii (Reeves's turtle)
Lineage: Eukaryota; Metazoa; Chordata; Testudines; Geoemydidae
Exons: 3
Source: RefSeq, a predicted model, not a curated record
CUGGAGGGGUGUGUGGUCCGUCACAAGAGUAAAUCGCCGGCCCAAGAGGAGGAGGAAAGAAGGAGUUGGAAGAGUACAGAAAGUCACUAGCAAUUUGUAGGAAAGGUCAGUGUCACCUUCUGCCGGCUGCAUGAGGCAGCCGAUUCCCUAUCUACACAUCCCAUCUCUGGAGCAUGCAGCCACUAAAAAAAUCCAUGACUAAAGGACAUACAGGCCUUGGCUUGAAGUCAAACUGCCCUUACAGAGGAACACAUUACAUCAGGUGACUGUUUUAAAGAGACCAAGGAAGAGGAUCAGCACUGCCCCAAGUCCCAUCUUCAGAUGAGGACGGUUGAAAAGGAACUGAGGGGGUUGUGGGACGUGUGUGCUCAGGCAGACUAACGAGACCACGAGACAACAGCAGGCACUGCUACUGAAGAUCUCUGAUCAAUGGCGCUGGGACGCACCAUCACCUG